CAUUCCUACGGGGCGCAGCAGUGGGGAAUAUUGCACAAUGGGGGGAACCCUGAUGCAGCGACGCCGCGUGGGCGAGGAAGUAUUUCGGUAUGUAAAGCCCUAUCGGCAGGGAAGAAGAAAUGACGGUACCUUAAUAAGACGCACCGGCUAAAUACGUGCCGGCAGCCGCGGUAAUACGUAUGGUGCCAGCGUUAUCCGGAUUUACUGGGCGUGAAGGGAGCGCAGGCGGCGC
RNAcentral lists this ribosomal RNA (232 nucleotides) under uncultured bacterium. RNAcentral's name for it is "partial 16S ribosomal RNA". It matches the Rfam family "Bacterial small subunit ribosomal RNA", at positions 334 to 581 of the family's 1533-position model. The record is from RNAcentral.